UACAGAGGUCCCAAGCGUUGUUCGGAUUCAUUGGGCGUAAAGGGUGCGUAGGCGGCGCGGUAAGUCGGGUGUGAAAUCUCGGAGCUUAACUCCGAAACUGCAUUCGAUACUGCCGUGCUUGAGGACUGGAGAGGAGACUGGAAUUUACGGUGUAGCGGUGAAAUGCGUAGAUAUCGUAAGGAAGGCCAGUGGCGAAGGCGGGUCUCUGGACAGUUCCUGACGCUGAGGCACGAAGGCCAGGGGAGCAAACGGG
RNAcentral lists this ribosomal RNA (253 nucleotides) under uncultured bacterium. Its description in RNAcentral is "partial 16S ribosomal RNA". It matches the Rfam family "Bacterial small subunit ribosomal RNA", at positions 524 to 776 of the family's 1533-position model. The record is from RNAcentral.